UGGGGUAUAGUUCAAAGGUCAGAACUUUUGACUGUUAAUCAAAGAAUCAUGGUUCGAGUCCAUGUGCCCCAG
This 72-nucleotide transfer RNA is filed under the name Bacteriophage sp. RNAcentral's name for it is "tRNA-Asn". It matches the Rfam family "tRNA". From Rfam's summary of the family: Transfer RNA (tRNA) molecules are approximately 80 nucleotides in length. Their secondary structure includes four short double-helical elements and three loops (D, anti-codon, and T loops). The record is from RNAcentral. RNAcentral also lists the same sequence under 1 other name.